UCCAGCAGGCAUAUCACCCUGCAACUCACAACUGGCAACCCACCGAAGCUAAGCAGGUGUGAGCCUGGUCAGUACCUGGGUAAGAGACCUCCCGGGAAAAACUAAGGUUGCUGCUGGAA
RNAcentral lists this ribosomal RNA (119 nucleotides) under Lepisosteus oculatus (spotted gar). The record is from RNAcentral. Lineage: Eukaryota; Metazoa; Chordata; Actinopteri; Semionotiformes; Lepisosteidae.